RNAcentral lists this ribosomal RNA (460 nucleotides) under uncultured bacterium. Its description in RNAcentral is "partial 16S ribosomal RNA". It matches the Rfam family "Bacterial small subunit ribosomal RNA", at positions 338 to 795 of the family's 1533-position model. The record is from RNAcentral.
CCUACGGGUGGCUGCAGUGAGGAAUAUUGGUCAAUGGGCGCGAGCCUGAACCAGCCAAGUAGCGUGAAGGAUGACUGCCCUACGGGUUGUAAACUUCUUUUAUAAAGGAAUAAAGUGAGGCAUGUGCGCCUUUUUGUAUGUACUUUAUGAAUAAGGAUCGGCUAACCCCGCGCCAGCAGCCGCGGUAAUACGGAGGCCCCGAGCGUUAUUCGGAUUUAUUGGGUUUAAAGGGCGCGUAGAUGGGUUGUUAAGUCAGUUGUGAAAGUUUGCGGCUCAACCGUAAAAUUGCAAUUGAUACUGGCAGCCUUGAGUACAGUUGAGGUAGGCGGAAUUCGUGGUGUAGCGGUGAAAUGCUUAGAUAUCACGAAGAACUCCGAUUGCGAAGGCAGCUUACUAAACUGCAACUGACAUUGAUGCUCGAAAGUGUGGGUAUCAAACAGGAUUAGAUACCCGUGUAGUC